GCACAUAAGACAUGCAAGUCGAACGGAAGUCGUUAUACUGAAUUUGAAAUGAACUGUGAACUUGUUCAGAGGGACUAGAUGAUGAUUUAUAACAAUGGCUUUAGUGGCGGACUGGUGAGUAACGCGUAGGUAACCUGCCUAUCAGAGGGGAAUAACAGUGAGAAAUCAUUGCUAAUACCGCAUAUGCUCACGGUACCACAUGGUACAGUGAGGAAAGGAGAAAUCCGCUGAUAGAUGGGCCUGCGUCUGAUUAGCUAGUUGGCAAGGUAAAGGCUUACCAAGGCAACGAUCAGUAGCCGGACUGAGAGGUUAAACGGCCACAUUGGGACUGAGAUACGGCCCAGACUCCUACGGGAGGCAGCAGUCGGGAAUAUUGCGCAAUGGAGGAAACUCUGACGCAGUGACGCCGCGUAUAGGAAGAAGGUUUUCGGAUUGUAAACUAUUGUCGUUAGGGAAGAUACAAGACAGUACCUAAGGAGGAAGCCCCGGCUAACUAUGUGCCAGCAGCCGCGGUAAUACAUAGGGGGCGAGCGUUAUCCGGAAUUAUUGGGUGU
RNAcentral lists this ribosomal RNA (554 nucleotides) under uncultured rumen bacterium. RNAcentral describes it as "bacterial SSU rRNA". It matches the Rfam family "Bacterial small subunit ribosomal RNA", at positions 44 to 561 of the family's 1533-position model. The record is from RNAcentral.